GUCCCGGUAGCUCAGCUGGUAGAGCAUGCGGCUGUUAACCGCAGGGUCAGAGGUCCGAGUCCUCUCCGGGACG
RNAcentral lists this transfer RNA (73 nucleotides) under Nanobdellota archaeon. RNAcentral describes it as "tRNA-Asn". It matches the Rfam family "tRNA". Rfam says of the family: Transfer RNA (tRNA) molecules are approximately 80 nucleotides in length. Their secondary structure includes four short double-helical elements and three loops (D, anti-codon, and T loops). Lineage: Archaea; Nanobdellati; Nanobdellota. The record is from RNAcentral.